Molecule: ribosomal RNA, 246 nt
Filed under: uncultured Lactobacillus sp.
Lineage: Bacteria; Bacillati; Bacillota; Bacilli; Lactobacillales; Lactobacillaceae
Description: partial 16S ribosomal RNA
Rfam family: Bacterial small subunit ribosomal RNA
Source: RNAcentral
CGUGGGUAACCUGCCCAAGAGAUCGGGAUAACACCUGGAAACAGAUGCUAAUACCGGAUAACAACAGAUGAUGCCUAUCAACUGUUUAAAAGAUGGUUCUGCUAUCACUCUUGGAUGGACCUGCGGUGCAUUAGCUAGUUGGUAGGGUAACGGCCUACCAAGGCAAUGAUGCAUAGCCGAGUUGAGAGACUGAUCGGCCACAUUGGGACUGAGACACGGUCCAAACUCCUACGGGAGGCAGCAGGG